RNAcentral lists this transfer RNA (48 nucleotides) under Sedum mucizonia. Its description in RNAcentral is "partial tRNA-Phe". Lineage: Eukaryota; Viridiplantae; Streptophyta; Magnoliopsida; Saxifragales; Crassulaceae. The record is from RNAcentral.
AGUCGGGAUAGCUCAGCUGGUAGAGCAGAGGACUGAAAUCCUCGUGUC